UAAUAGCGUAUAUUAAAGUUGUUGCAGUUAAAAAGCUCGUAGUCGGAUGUCGGGCUCGGGGAGGCUGUCGGCCUUCGGUCGGACGGCAUGUCCGGGCCUUUCUGCCUGGGGAUCCUACUCUACUUAACUGUAGGGUAGUGGGACGCAGGCCGUUUACUUUGAAAAAAUUAGAGUGUUCAAAGCAGGCCUUCGCUUGAAUACAUUAGCAUGGAAUAAUGGAAUAGGACUUUGGUCUUAUUUGUUGGUUUAUGGGACCGAAGUAAUGAUUAACAGGGACAGUUGGGGCCGUUUAUAUUUCGUUGUCAGAGGUGAAAUUCUUGGAUUUACGAAAGAUAAACUUCUGCGAAAGCAUUCGGCAAGGAUGUUUUCAUUGA
This 374-nucleotide ribosomal RNA is filed under the name uncultured eukaryote. Its description in RNAcentral is "partial 18S ribosomal RNA". It matches the Rfam family "Eukaryotic small subunit ribosomal RNA", at positions 592 to 976 of the family's 1831-position model. The record is from RNAcentral.